AACGAACGCUGGCGGCAUGCUUAACACAUGCAAGUCGAACGGAACCUUCCGGUUUUGUGGGGCAGCGGGGCGUAACGCGCGGGGACCUGCCCGUAGGUUCGCAGCAACUCCCCGUGAGGGGUGUUCAUACAAGAGAGUGUCUUCCGGGCAACGAGUUUUUGCCGCUGGGUGGGGCCGCGUUGGCUUAGCUAGUUGGUGGGGUAAACGCGGACCAAGGGGACGAUGCAUAGCUGGUCUGAGAGGAUGAUCUGCCACACUGGGACUGCGACACGGCCCAGACUCCUACGGGAGGCAGCAGUGGGGAAUACUGGACGAUGGGCGCAAGCCUGAUCCAGCCAUGCCGCGUGAGUGAUGCAGGCCUUAGGGUUGUAAAGCUGUUUUAGCCGGGAUGAUAAUGACGGUACCGGGAGAAUAAGCUCCGGCUAACUCCGUG
Molecule: ribosomal RNA, 433 nt
Filed under: uncultured bacterium
Lineage: Bacteria
Description: partial 16S ribosomal RNA
Rfam family: Bacterial small subunit ribosomal RNA
Source: RNAcentral